GAGUUUUAUCNUGGCUCAGAUUGAACGCUGGCGGCAUGCCUUACACAUGCAAGUCGAACGGUAACAGGUCUUCGGAUGCUGACGAGUGGCGAACGGGUGAGUAAAGUAUCGGAACGUGCCCAGUCGUGGGGGAUAACGCAGCGAAAGCUGUGCUAAUACCGCAUACGAUCUACGGAUGAAAGCGGGGGACUCGCAAGGGCCUCGCGCGAUUGGAGCGGCUGAUAUCAGAUUAGGUAGUUGGUGAAGUAAAGGCUCACCAAGCCUGCGAUCUGUAGCUGGUCUGAGAGGACGACCAGCCACACUGGAACUGAGACACGGUCCAGACUCCUACGGGGCGCAGCAGAAGGGC
RNAcentral lists this ribosomal RNA (349 nucleotides) under uncultured bacterium. Its description in RNAcentral is "bacterial SSU rRNA". It matches the Rfam family "Bacterial small subunit ribosomal RNA", at positions 9 to 360 of the family's 1533-position model. The record is from RNAcentral.